CCUACGGGUGGCUGCAGUGGGGAAUAUUGGACAAUGGGGGCAACCCUGAUCCAGCCAUGCCGCGUGUGUGAAGAAGGCCCUCGGGUUGUAAAGCACUUUCAGUGAGGAAGAACGCCUGGUGGUUAAUACCCAUCAGGAAAGACAUCACUCACAGAAGAAGCACCGGCUAACUCCGUGCCAGCAGCCUCGGUAAUACGGAGGGUGCGAGCGUUAAUCGGAAUUACUGGGCGUAAAGCGCGCGUAGGUGGCUUGAUAAGCCGGUUGUGAAAGCCCCGGGCUCAACCUGGGAACGGCAUCCGGAACUGUCAAGCUAGAGUGCAGGAGAGGAAGGUAGAAUUCCCGGUGUAGCGGUGAAAUGCGUAGAGAUCGGGAGGAAUACCAGUGGCGAAGGCGGCCUUCUGGACUGACACUGACACUGAGGUGCGAAAGCGUGGGUAGCAAACAGGAUUAGAUACCCCAGUAGUC
This 465-nucleotide ribosomal RNA is filed under the name Vreelandella stevensii. Its description in RNAcentral is "partial 16S ribosomal RNA". It matches the Rfam family "Bacterial small subunit ribosomal RNA", at positions 338 to 795 of the family's 1533-position model. The record is from RNAcentral. Lineage: Bacteria; Pseudomonadati; Pseudomonadota; Gammaproteobacteria; Oceanospirillales; Halomonadaceae.